AGUGAACGCUGGCGGCAGGCCUAACACAUGCAAGUCGAGCGGCAGCGCGUCCGACCACCCUCGGGUGGUCGGAUGGCGGCGAGCGGCGGACGGGUGAGGAAUGCAUCGGAAUCUGCCUCGUUGUGGGGGAUAACGUAGGGAAACUUACGCUAAUACCGCAUACGACCUACGGGUGAAAGUGGGGGACCUUCGGGCCUCACGCGAUGAGAUGAGCCGAUGCCGGAUUAGCUAGUUGGCGGGGUAAAGGCCCACCAAGGCGACGAUCCGUAGCUGGUCUGAGAGGAUGAUCAGCCACACUGGAACUGAGACACGGUCCAGACUCCUACGGGAGGCAGCAGUGGGGAAUAUUGGACAAUGGGGGGCAACCCUGAUCCAGCCAUGCCGCGUGAAGGAUGAAUGCCCUCUGGGUUGUAAACUUCUUUAGUCUGGGAAGAAAACAUAUAUUCAUAUAUGUCUGACGGUACCAGAAGAAUAAGCACCGGCUAACU
RNAcentral lists this ribosomal RNA (488 nucleotides) under uncultured bacterium. RNAcentral describes it as "bacterial SSU rRNA". It matches the Rfam family "Bacterial small subunit ribosomal RNA", at positions 29 to 502 of the family's 1533-position model. The record is from RNAcentral.